Long non-coding RNA from Neopelma chrysocephalum (saffron-crested tyrant-manakin), 1853 nucleotides. RefSeq lists it as uncharacterized. Lineage: Eukaryota; Metazoa; Chordata; Aves; Passeriformes; Pipridae. The transcript is spliced from 4 exons. The record is from RefSeq and is a predicted model, not a curated record.
CCCAAGGGGUGAACUGAGGGUGCGCAUGAAUAGUCUGAGAGCAUUAAUCCUCAUCGUGCUGUGGCUGUGGAAAAUUAUGCCUUGACAUCACUCUUCAAAGCCAGUAGAUCAGUAUUUCUGUCUUGAUAGAUGGAAGUAAGAACACUGGCCUUCUUCAGAGUAGUUAUAUAGUUAUGCAUGUUCAAUAGAUCAGCAUUUUGGCUUUAUUAAGCUGCUCUGGCACAGUGCUUUCAGCACUCACUGAUCACCUUCAGUGGGUUCAUCUCAAAGCGCCUGUUAGUUGGCUGACAUGUUCUAGCUGGCGUGAAGAAUCUUUUUCUUACUGAGGUUUAAGUAAGCUUUUCUGCCUUUUAUGUUUUGGACUGUGUCUUUAGGUUAGUGUUGGCUACUAACAAAAACCCUGGUCACGUGACCACAAGCACCAAAAGAAAAGGGUGUAACCUAGUCAGAAGCCAUUCCUGAUUUGAGGAGUUGACAUCUGUUUAAGUCACGAGUUUGUCUUCCAUGACACCUCUGGGUCCCUGUUUCAGUGUUUUACCACUCAUGGUGAAAAUUUUUUCCUUUUUUCCUUAUUAUACCCUGAAUUUCCUCUAUUGCAGUUAAUGUGUUUGUCUUGUCCUAUCACUGUGUUUUUCCAAGGAGUCGGAUAGUGUGGUCCAAGUUUCAAUCCUAUGUCUGCCAGAGGCAGUGAAUCAUUUUCCAUGUCUUGGAGACUUUGUUGUUGCAGUUGUCUGAAGAUAACAUCACAGCACUGCUUCUCUCAGGAGAAGCAGCUUGCAAAGAAGGGCUGCUUGAGCCCCAUCUUUUCUAUCCCGUCCCACUGGGUAAUUAAUGGUGGACAGCAAUAAGGUCACCCUGAAGCCUCGUCCUCUUAAAGCUGAAUAAACGUAGCUCCUUCAGUCGCUCCUCAUUGAUGAUAUUCUCCAGCCCCUGACAACCUUGUGGCCUUCUCCUGGAAGUUUGGAAUACCCAUGUGAUCUUACCGGGCUUCAAUAGUUUUAUAUGCGUAAAAGACAAUUCCAGGAUGAUGACAAGACAUAAAGAGACUUUCCAACAUCUGUCCAGGAUAAUAAUGACAUUUUAAGAGGCAACAGUCCAAUGCUUUCAACUUGAAUGACAUCAGUGAUGGCUCCAAUCCAGGUUAUCCAAGGAAAGAUAAGAAAGAUAAAAAUUAAAGUCUUUCAUCAGCUUAAUUCUCUUGCAUUUCUACCUUAGAACUUAGCUCUAAAUUCCUAUUCAUGUUUUUGAAAGCACGCGCUGACAAAUUAGUGUUACUGUGUUCAUACCUUUUGAUUUUUAAAAGAACCAAAUUCAUCACUUGAUCUCAGAGCCUAUUGCUACAAGCAAUAUUGUUUUCCAGCUGAGCCACAGCUAACAUGGAUUUUAUUCUUUUUGUGUCUCUUUUAUCACUUUAGUGUGCUCUUCCAUGUGUUGCAAAGUACAGAUGGUGAAAUGCUUUGGGUCAUGCAACAUUGUCAGUUAAUUCUUUUGUGAGCUGUGGUGCCAGCUAAUCCUCGUAUUUCAAUUUCUGGUGUGUUCUGUGCAAUCACUUUUUUGUUGUUUAUUCAUUAUGCCUGAAAUAAAGAAUGGCUGAUAACAGCAAAAGUCAAAGGGAUUUAGUCAGGUUGUUCUUCCACAGAUAUCCAUGCACUUAAUUGGCACCACUGAUACAGAAAAGAUUAACAAAAAGGAAAAAUUUACCCACUGUUUUACACAAUAAUAAUGUCUUUAGAAAUAUGAGAAAUAAAGCUACAUCAGACAGCUACAGAAUGUACAGAAGAGUACAUGCCCCAAACAGAUGCUCAAAUGUACUUGGUGGGUAUUACAAUACAAAGAAAAUAGGGAAAGAAGGA